RNAcentral lists this unclassified non-coding RNA (240 nucleotides) under soil metagenome. RNAcentral describes it as "partial contains 5.8S ribosomal RNA, internal transcribed spacer 2, and large subunit ribosomal RNA". The record is from RNAcentral.
AAGACUAUAGACCUGCGGAGUACCUGCGGAAGGAUCAUUAUCGCAUUGUAACAAUUGGGGGGGCCACCGUGGGCUGUCGCUGACCCUUUGAAAGGGGGGUCGUGCACGCCCCCAUAGUGUCAUCCUCAUACAAUCCAACUCACCUCUGUGCAUCACCGCGUGGGUUCCUUUCUGGGUCGAGUCAGACUGGCUCAGAAAAAAGGGGCUUGCGUUUUCCAUACAAAUACCCUUAUAAAUCCA